UACGAAGGGGGCUAGCGUUGCUCGGAAUGACUGGGCGUAAAGGGCGCGUAGGCGGAUGACACAGUCAGAUGUGAAAUUCCCGGGCUUAACCUGGGGGCUGCAUUUGAUACGUGUUGUCUAGAGUGAGGAAGAGGGUUGUGGAAUUCCCAGUGUAGAGGUGAAAUUCGUAGAUAUUGGGAAGAACACCGGUGGCGAAGGCGGCAACCUGGGCCUUGACUGACGCUGAGGCGCGAAAGCGUGGGGAGCAAACAGG
RNAcentral lists this ribosomal RNA (253 nucleotides) under uncultured bacterium. RNAcentral's name for it is "partial 16S ribosomal RNA". It matches the Rfam family "Bacterial small subunit ribosomal RNA", at positions 524 to 776 of the family's 1533-position model. The record is from RNAcentral.